Molecule: long non-coding RNA, 390 nt
Filed under: Brassica napus (rape)
Lineage: Eukaryota; Viridiplantae; Streptophyta; Magnoliopsida; Brassicales; Brassicaceae
Description: long non-coding RNA (BNAP_LNC019973)
Source: RNAcentral
GAGAGAGGAUAAUAACAGUUAGAGUAAUCAAUAUCAACCCUUUAGAAUCUAGAGGAAAGAAGUCAACCUGAGCUUUUGAAGAAAAUGCAUGUCCAAGCUAUGUUGUAUAGGUUUAAGAAAAGUGCUAAAGCAAAUGAAAGCUAAAGCAGAAGCAGAAAACUGCUUGCAACAUAGGAAUACUUUGUGAGAAGUGUUUAACCUGAUCUUUUGAAGAUGAUAGAUAUCAAAGCUACGAUUAAUAGGUUUAAGAAAGGUCUUAAAGUAGUGAAAGCCGAAACUAUGAUAUGUGUUGCAACAUAUGUUUGAUCUUUUGUCAUUCUGAAUUUUAGUUCACUGCCCUGUGGCUUGAGAGACGAUGAUCAUUAUUGGUUACCGAAAGUAAAGAAUAAU